This is a long non-coding RNA of Durio zibethinus, 2195 nucleotides long. RefSeq lists it as uncharacterized. The record is from RefSeq and is a predicted model, not a curated record. NCBI's taxonomy places the organism in Eukaryota, Viridiplantae, Streptophyta, Magnoliopsida, Malvales, Malvaceae.
UUCAUCAAGUACUUGAUUUGUGGCCUUGACUAACCUUUAUAAUCAGAACUUUCAUCAUAAUCUGCCAUAGCUUUCAUUAAAAUUUUCUCAAAAGCCAUUGCUUUUACUUUUUCUCUACAGUGGCUAUAAAUCAACAGCAAUUAUCCACCAUCAUCAUUUGCAUCCACAUUAACGUGAACCUGUGGCUUUCUCUUUUUGUCGUUUAUUUUUGCAUUAGUAGAUAUUAAAAUUGACUCUAAUGUUGAAUUUAUGGUGGAAUGCAAUCAUAUGCAAAAUCAAUUCGUAAUCAAGGAAAAAUAGUUAUGGGUUAUCAACCUACCAUUGUGCUUUUCUUUUAGUUUAUCAUCUCCAAUUUCUGAAGUCUAUUUUAGCCAACAGAAGUAGCAUCAUGAAAAAUGAAUUUGAAAAAUUGCAUUUUUAUAAGUUCUUCUCCAUCAUUGAAUCCCACUGUUUGCUCAAGAAAGUAAGGGAAGAAAGUUGAUGGUGGAAGUGCUAUAUGCCUGUUGGGGUUUACAUUAAAGCAUUCUUUAUAAGUAUAUUAUGCAGUUUUUUGUGUUUAUGCCAAUUAGAUUGCAGCAAGAGUCCUAUGUUAUUUGCAUUGCAUUCUGAUCCAUGGUUUCUUCAAUUACAUUGCUAUUCUAUGUUUUACAAGUUGGAGUUUGAUUUAGCCAUGAAAAGUAAUGAUUUGAAAAGAGCUCUACAAUGUCUUCUUACAAUGAGCAACAGCAAGGACAUAGGAUAGGAUAAUCCCAAGCUUGAUUUGAAUGAUAUCCUUAAUUUGAUAGCUAAAAAGGAAAAUCUGGUUGAGGCUGUUCAAGGAACAGUAAAAUUUGUGAAGGAGUUUUUGGACCUUGUUGAUGUAGCUGAUGCUACGCCCAGGCUGACAUUGCUUGUGAAGCUCUUAAAAGGUUAGCUACUGCAGGUUCAGUGAAAGGAGCUUUACGAGGUCAUGAGUUAAGAGGACUGCUCUUCGCCUUGUUAAUCAUGGAGAGUUGACACACCUGAGUGUUUAGUAAAUAACUUGAUCUCGUUUGGAUUGGGACGUGAAGCAGCAUUUUCAGCUGUAGUGUUGGGAGACAAUGCUCUUAUGGAGAAAGCAUGGCAGGUUACUGGAAUGCUUUCCGAGGCUAUGUUACACGCACAUGCUCCUGGGCGACCAACGUUAAAGAACUUGGUUGAGGCUUGGAACGGAGUUACAGGAAGAGGUGGAGCCCACACCAUCGGCAAAGACAGAUGCUAUAACUGCAUUUUUGGCUUCUCUCAAGGAACCCAAACUUUAGAGUUUGUCAAAGGCAGGGAAGAAACCACCGAUUGAAAUCUUUCCUGUUGGGAUGGCAACACUUUCUGCUUCAAUUACCAUUAAGAAAAAACCUGCUCCUGCAACACAGACUUUGCUGCAACAACCAGGCAAAACAUUGGCAUUAGAAGCACCACCUCCUGGUGGACCAACUGAAGCACUAAUAGGUGCCGCCCAGUGCUUCAGUCGCAGCACCAGGCACACCAAUAGAAGCAUCACCUCCUGAUGCACCAACCGCAACACUAGGCACACUGAUAGGAGCACCACCUCCUGGUGCACCAGUUGCCGUAGUAAUAGGUGCAUCACCACCUACAUCUAAAGCAACUGAACCUACUUCAGAUGAUAAAGCUCUUAAUUCAUCAUUAGGGAGCAUUCCAGAUAUGAUUGUUUCAACAGAAAGUAAUCUGGCAACAUCUAUCGGUGACACACUAGCACCAUAUGCAACUUUGGCAGAUAAGGUGGAUAUAUCAUCUGUGAUAUCAGAUAACCAGGAAACAAGUGUUCCGACUAUAUUGCCAACAAGUGAACCACUUUUUUGAGUCUGCUGGGACUAGCACAUAAUGAGUUAAUAGUGAUUCGUUUGAUUCCAAAGAACUGUAAUUCAAUUUCAUUUGUAGCAAGAGUCAUUUUGCGAAGGCAUCGGUGUGAAUAUAUUUGAUUUUUUUGGAUUUUGGAUCAGGGAGAUGGAAUACUUUUUAGUGGAUUUAGCAUUCAUAACAAUUUUCUGGUUUUCAAGCCUGGUUUAGUUUUAUCGUCCUUACCAUAAAUAAACCAGAUAGCGAGUAAUGUAAGUACUAUGAAAGACCAAAAAUACUUAAAAGUUGUUAUUGUGGGAGUGGGAGUUUUGAAAAAAGAGAAGCCGAUUUCGCCUUCAGUUAGCGGGAAUUGCUUCCUUUGA